AGUCUGCAACUCGACUACAUGAAGCUGGAAUCGCUAGUAAUCGCAGAUCAGAAUGCUGCGGUGAAUACGUUCCCGGGUCUUGUACACACCGCCCGUCACACCAUGGGAGUCGGAAAUGCCCGAAGCCGGUGGCCCAAUCGAGAGAAGGGAGCCGUCGAAGGCAGGCCGGAUGACUGGGGUGAAGUCGUAACAAGGUAUC
Molecule: ribosomal RNA, 199 nt
Filed under: uncultured bacterium
Lineage: Bacteria
Description: partial 16S ribosomal RNA
Rfam family: Bacterial small subunit ribosomal RNA
Source: RNAcentral